This 404-nucleotide ribosomal RNA is filed under the name Thermodesulfovibrio sp. enrichment culture. RNAcentral describes it as "bacterial SSU rRNA". It matches the Rfam family "Bacterial small subunit ribosomal RNA", at positions 355 to 774 of the family's 1533-position model. Lineage: Bacteria; Pseudomonadati; Nitrospirota; Thermodesulfovibrionia; Thermodesulfovibrionales; Thermodesulfovibrionaceae. The record is from RNAcentral.
UGGGGAAUAUUGGGCAAUGGGCGAAAGCCUGACCCAGGACGCCGCGUGGGGGAAGAAGGCCUUCGGGUUGUAAACCCCUUUUGCAGGGGACGACACAGGACGGUACCCUGCGAAUAAGCCACGGCUAACUCUGUGCCAGCAGCCGCGGUAAGACAGAGGUGGCAAGCGUUGCUCGGAUUCACUGGGCUUAAAGGGCGCGUAGGUGGUUUUGUAAGUCUAAGGUGGAAUUCCACAGCUUAACUGUGGGACUGCCUUUGAUACUGCAAGGCUUGAGUCAGGCAGAGGAGGGCGGAAUUCCCGGUGUAGCGGUGAAAUGCGUAGAUAUCGGGGAGGAAGGCCUGGUGGCGAAGGCGGCCCUCUGGGCCUGCACUGACACUGAGGCGCGAAAGCGUGGGGAGCAAACA